This 111-nucleotide ribosomal RNA is filed under the name Helianthus annuus (common sunflower). The record is from RNAcentral. Lineage: Eukaryota; Viridiplantae; Streptophyta; Magnoliopsida; Asterales; Asteraceae.
UUUUGGGCUUAGUUGGUUGUAGAGCACAUGAAAACUUCACAGUUAAGCGUGCUCAGGUAGGAGUAGUACUAUGAUGGGUGGCCUCCUGGGAAGUCUUCAUCGGGGCAACCA